AUAAAAUAGACAACGAUACAGCUAAGAUUAGGAUGGCCACUGCACUCCAAGGAUGACACGCACAAAUAGAGAAAUCGAUCCAAGUAAUUUUUUGAGAUUU
Molecule: small nuclear RNA, 100 nt
Filed under: Oryza sativa Indica Group (long-grained rice)
Lineage: Eukaryota; Viridiplantae; Streptophyta; Magnoliopsida; Poales; Poaceae
Source: RNAcentral